Molecule: ribosomal RNA, 403 nt
Filed under: uncultured bacterium
Lineage: Bacteria
Description: bacterial SSU rRNA
Rfam family: Bacterial small subunit ribosomal RNA
Source: RNAcentral
GAGUUUGAUCCUGUAUCAAUUUCAACGCUACCCCGGCAAUUACGGGUGCUUGGUCUGAGAGGCGNCCAGCCAGAGGGGGCUUGAGACCCGGCCCCCACUCCUCCGGGAGGCAGCAGCAGGGAAUCUUGGGCAAUGGGCGCAAGCCUGACCCAGCGACGUCGCGUGGAGGAAGAAGGCUCUCGGGCUGUAAACUCCUUUUCCAGGGGAAGAGUAAGGACGGUACCUUGGGAAUAAGCUCCGGCUAACUACGUGCCAGCAGCCGCGGUAAUACGUAGGGAGCGAGCGUUACCCGGAAUUACUGGGCGUAAAGUGCGCGUAGGCGGCUUGGUAAGUCUCUUUUGAAAGCUCCCGGCUUAACUGGGAGAGGUGAGGGGAAACUACUUGGCUUGAGGGCAGUAGAGGA